RNAcentral lists this ribosomal RNA (588 nucleotides) under uncultured bacterium. RNAcentral's name for it is "bacterial SSU rRNA". It matches the Rfam family "Bacterial small subunit ribosomal RNA", at positions 338 to 916 of the family's 1533-position model. The record is from RNAcentral.
CCUACGGGAGGCAGCAGUAGGGAAUCUUCCGCAAUGGACGAAAGUCUGACGGAGCAACGCCGCGUGAGCGAUGAAGGCCUUCGGGUCGUAAAGCUCUGUUGUUAGGGAAGAACAAGUGCUAGUUAAAUAAGCUGGCACCUUGACGGUACCUAACCAGAAAGCCACGGCUAACUACGUGCCAGCAGCCGCGGUAAUACGUAGGUGGCAAGCGUUGUCCGGAAUUAUUGGGCGUAAAGCGCGCGCAGGCGGUUUCUUAAGUCUGAUGUGAAAGCCCCCGGCUCAACCGGGGAGGGUCAUUGGAAACUGGGAAACUUGAGUGCAGAAGAGGAAAGUGGAAUUCCAAGUGUAGCGGUGAAAUGCGUAGAGAUUUGGAGGAACACCAGUGGCGAAGGCGACUUUCUGGUCUGUAACUGACGCUGAGGCGCGAAAGCGUGGGGAGCAAACAGGAUUAGAUACCCUGGUAGUCCACGCUGUAAACGAUGAGUGCUAAGUGUUAGAGGGUUUCCGCCCUUUAGUGCUGAAGUUAACGCAUUAAGCACUCCGCCUGGGGAGUACGGUCGCAAGACUGAAACUCAAAGGAAUUGACGG